RNAcentral lists this non-coding RNA (30 nucleotides) under Rattus norvegicus (Norway rat). The record is from RNAcentral. Lineage: Eukaryota; Metazoa; Chordata; Mammalia; Rodentia; Muridae.
UUCUAGACACGUAGCAGGAGGGGCUACAGG